Molecule: ribosomal RNA, 468 nt
Filed under: uncultured bacterium
Lineage: Bacteria
Description: partial 16S ribosomal RNA
Rfam family: Bacterial small subunit ribosomal RNA
Source: RNAcentral
GACGAACGCUGGCGGCGUGCUUAACACAUGCAAGUCGAACGGAAAGGCCCUGCUUUUGUGGGGUGCUCGAGUGGCGAACGGGUGAGUAACACGUGAGUAACCUGCCCUUGACUUUGGGAUAACUUCAGGAAACUGGGGCUAAUACCGGAUAGGAGCUCCUGCUGCAUGGUGGGGGUUGGAAAGUUUCGGCGGUUGGGGAUGGACUCGCGGCUUAUCAGCUUGUUGGUGGGGUAGUGGCUUACCAAGGCUUUGACGGGUAGCCGGCCUGAGAGGGUGACCGGCCACAAUGGGACUGAGAUACGGACCAGACUCCUACGGGAGGCAGCAGUGGGGAGUAUUGCACAAUGGGCGGGAGCCUGAUGCAGCAGCGCCGCGUGCGGGAUGACGGCCUUCGGGUUGUAAACCGCUUUCGCCUGUGACGAAGCGUGAGUGACGGUAAUGGGUAAAGAAGCACCGGCUAACUACGUG